UACAGAGGGGGCAAGCGUUAUUCGGAAUUAUUGGGCGUAAAGGGCGCGUAGGCGGCUCUCUUGGUCGUGGGUGAAAUCCCCCAGCUUAACUGGGGAAGGGCUUACGAUACCGGGGGGCUCGAGGGAGGAAGGGGCGGUCGGAACUGUCGGUGGAGCGGUGAAAUGCGUUGAUAUCGACAGGAACGCCGGUGGCGAAAGCGGACCGCUGGCCCUCUUCUGACGCUGAGGCGCGAAAGCCAGGGGAGCGAACGGG
RNAcentral lists this ribosomal RNA (253 nucleotides) under uncultured bacterium. RNAcentral describes it as "partial 16S ribosomal RNA". It matches the Rfam family "Bacterial small subunit ribosomal RNA", at positions 524 to 776 of the family's 1533-position model. The record is from RNAcentral.